Molecule: unclassified non-coding RNA, 277 nt
Filed under: fungal sp.
Lineage: Eukaryota; Fungi
Description: partial internal transcribed spacer region
Rfam family: Eukaryotic small subunit ribosomal RNA (bases 1-46)
Source: RNAcentral
AAGUCGUAACAAGGUAACCGUAGGUGAACCUGCGGUUGGAUCAUUAUUAAAUGAUUUUCCGGGUGUGAGGUCCUAGUGAACUCCACCCGGGAGCAACCACCUUUGUGAAAUGUAACGUUUUUGGGUCAAGAAAGUGGAUGUCUUCGCGGGGCUUUAAAACCCUGUUUAAAUAUCUGCCCGACUGGCCCGCCUUUUUAAAAAACCCCUUUAUAAUUUUGUCUGACUUUUGUAUUCUAUGAAUCAAAAACAACUUUUAACAACGGAUCUCUUGGCUCUC